GGGAUUGCCUUAGUAACGGCGAGUGAAGCGGCAAAAGCUCAAAUUUGAAAUCUGGCGUCUUCGACGUCCGAGUUGUAAUUUGUAGAGGUAGCUUUGGGUGUACAGCCAGGUCUAUGUUCCUUGGAACAGGACGUCAUGGAGGGUGAGAAUCCCGUAAAUGGCUUGGCCAGUGCCUAUGUAUAGCGCCUUCGACGAGUCGAGUUGUUUGGGAAUGCAGCUCUAAGCGGGUGGUAAAUUCCAUCUAAAGCUAAAUACUGGCGAGAGACCGAUAGCGCACAAGUAGAGUGAUCGAAAGGUGAAAAGCACUCCGGAAGGAGAGUUAAACAGCACGUGAAAUUGUUGAAAGGGAAGCGCUUGAGACCAGACUCAGGUAGGGUUGAUCAACCUCCAUUCUUGGUGGUGCACUCUUCUCUGCCCGGGCCAGCAACAGUUUUGGCGGUGGUAUAAAGGUUUAGGGAAUGUGGCUCUCUUCGGAGAGUGUUAUAGCCCUAUUCGUAAUGCUGCCUGUCGAGACUGAGGACCGCGCUUCGGCUAGGUUGUUGGCGUAAUGGUCUUAAGCGACCCGUCUUGAAACACGGACCAAGGAGUCUAACAUCUAUGCGAGUGUUUGGGUGGAAAACCCUUGCGCGUAAUGAAAGUGAACGGAGGUGAGAUCCCGCAAGGGCGCAUCAUCGACCGAUCCUGAUGUCUUCGGAUGGAUUUGAGUAGGAGCAUAGCUGUUGGGACCCGAAAGAUGGUGAACUAUGCCUGUAUAGGGUGAAGCCAGAGGAAACUCUGGUGGAGGCUCGCAGCGGUUCUGACGUGCAA
RNAcentral lists this ribosomal RNA (807 nucleotides) under Ascobolus denudatus. Its description in RNAcentral is "partial large subunit ribosomal RNA". It matches the Rfam family "Eukaryotic large subunit ribosomal RNA", at positions 71 to 896 of the family's 3401-position model. Lineage: Eukaryota; Fungi; Ascomycota; Pezizomycetes; Pezizales; Ascobolaceae. The record is from RNAcentral.